This is a long non-coding RNA of Cyanistes caeruleus (blue tit), 305 nucleotides long. RefSeq lists it as uncharacterized. The record is from RefSeq and is a predicted model, not a curated record. Lineage: Eukaryota; Metazoa; Chordata; Aves; Passeriformes; Paridae.
CCUGCACAUUCACCCAUCCACACACACACAGAGCUCUUUAUACAGAGAAAAUCAGGCUGGCGCUGCAAAAGUGCAGAGAAGAUCUUUCGCUAAAAUGCUCUCAAGCAAACAGAGACAGCUAACCUGGAAGUUGGAAUGCCCAGUGUCUUCUCCAAAAUUAUCCAGACUGCUUUUGUUUGCAGAAGUCAGACUGUGCAAGCUGUUGGUGUGUGGCUUGUCCCGCAAACGGCAUGAGGAUGGCAUAGACAGAUGCCAAAAGUGAGGGCCCCCAUCAGCCCAGCAGCCCUGCUGUGAACCACCAAAGU